Molecule: ribosomal RNA, 481 nt
Filed under: uncultured bacterium
Lineage: Bacteria
Description: bacterial SSU rRNA
Rfam family: Bacterial small subunit ribosomal RNA
Source: RNAcentral
GAUGAACGCUGGCGGCGUGCCUAACACAUGCAAGUCGAGCGAUUCUCUUCGGAGAAGAGCGGCGGACGGGUGAGUAACGCGUGGGUAACCUGCCCUGUACACACGGAUAACAUACCGAAAGGUAUGCUAAUACGAGAUAAUAUGCUUUUAUCGCAUGGUAGAAGUAUCAAAGCUUUUGCGGUACAGGAUGGACCCGCGUCUGAUUAGCUAGUUGGUAAGGUAACGGCUUACCAAGGCGACGAUCAGUAGCCGACCUGAGAGGGUGAUCGGCCACAUUGGAACUGAGACACGGUCCAAACUCCUACGGGAGGCAGCAGUGGGGAAUAUUGCACAAUGGGCGAAAGCCUGAUGCAGCAACGCCGCGUGAGCGAUGAAGGCCUUCGGGUCGUAAAGCUCUGUCCUCAAGGAAGAUAAUGACGGUACUUGAGGAGGAAGCCCCGGCUAACUACGUGCCAGCAGCCGGGUAAAACCCUCGUCUCUA